AUGGCAACAUAACCACCAAAAAUGCUAGAUUUAUUGAAAAGGGAGAUUCUUGCCAUUAUCAAAAAAACUUCAAAACUGCAAGAAGAUUUAUUAGCCUCUAGGAAAAUGUUCAAGAGGGAAAAUCCCCCCAAGGAGAUUGCAACUCAAGAAAAUCUCUCUCCAAUACCAUCUCCAACUCGAUGCCCGAAAACUCCUAUACCUAUGACACCAUCCACACCAAUGAUCAAAGAACCACCUUGCCCCUACAUAUCCAAAGCUAAAGAAAAAUUCUCCCCUUU
This 278-nucleotide long non-coding RNA is filed under the name Phoenix dactylifera (date palm). Its description in RNAcentral is "long non-coding RNA (PDAC_LNC003832)". The record is from RNAcentral. Lineage: Eukaryota; Viridiplantae; Streptophyta; Magnoliopsida; Arecales; Arecaceae.